This 1062-nucleotide long non-coding RNA is filed under the name Pan troglodytes (chimpanzee). RNAcentral's name for it is "long non-coding RNA NONPTRT014528". The record is from RNAcentral. Lineage: Eukaryota; Metazoa; Chordata; Mammalia; Primates; Hominidae.
UCCUGUAGCAUCCACAGUAUCAGCGUUUUCUGCCCUCUCCUCUGGGCCUGGCCUUCCUCCACCCCCUCCUCCUCCGCCUCCUCCAGGGCCACCUCCACUUUUCGAGAAUGAAGGCAAAAAAGAGGAAUCUUCUCCUUCACGCUCAGCUUUAUUUGCCCAACUUAACCAGGGAGAAGCAAUUACAAAAGGUGAGAGAGAAAACAAGGCCUUGAAGCUGCCUCCCUUUCCCUCUGGCUCCCAGACACAAAGAGCCACUGGAGCCCCAGUGAUGGAUACAUCACUCCAUCCCUGCCUCCAGCAUGCAGGGAGAGGGGGAGCUGGUGCUGGGAAGACAGGAGCCUGCCAUGUUCCUUAUGUCCAUGCAGACGGGCUCAGGGGGUCACUGUGUAGACCAGAAAGAAGUAUUCAGAGACUCUGGGUUCUAAAGUCUCAAACUCCUGACCUCAAGUGGUCCACCUGCCUCGGCCUCCCAAAGUGCUGGGAUUACAGUCAUGAGCCACAGCGCCCAGCCCCAGUUUAGUAUUUCUGAUCACUACAUUUAUCCAUUUAAUAACACUGCUUUCUCUCCAAACUAUUACGCAUGCAAAUUUUAAGGAGGUUGCUCAUCUUCAGAAUUAGUGAUGUCUUCUCACACUCAUCCAUUUUGCAUUCAGACUGUCCUUACUUUGCGUGGUGCUAGGUUAACUGAAUCUUAUGCCUAUAGGAACUACAAUUUGAGGAUUGCCUAUAUACUAAAGUCUGAUGCUAUAGGAUUGCUAAGGAAGUGAAACAAUGAGAACCCUGAUAUAUCAGUGUCGGGGGAGUAAAUCUGUGACAUUCACUGCAAUGCAAAUUGGCAGCGUCUAAGAAAGUCACAUUCAUAGUCUGUGACUGAGUGAUUUCACUCUUAGUGUAUACACUAAAGAAGCCCCAGCACGUGUGCCAAGGAGACAAAUGUAAAAAUGUUUAUUGCAAUAUCAUUCAUAAUGGCAAUAAAAACAAUUUAAAUGUCCACCAGUUGGUAAGUUAAUAAAUAAAUCCUCCCAAUAGGAUACUAGUUGGUAGUUUAACUAGUAUAGCAGC